UACUCUCGGCAACGGAUAUCUCGGCUCUUGCAUCGAUGAAGAACGUAGCGAAAUGCGAUACUUGGUGUGAAUUGCAGAAUCCCGUGAACCAUCUAGUCUUUGAACACAAGUUGUGCCUGAAGCCAUUAGGCCGAGGGCACGCCUGCCUGGGUGUUG
This 156-nucleotide ribosomal RNA is filed under the name Lupinus angustifolius (narrow-leaved blue lupine). RNAcentral's name for it is "rRNA 5_8S_rRNA". It matches the Rfam family "5.8S ribosomal RNA". Rfam says of the family: 5.8S ribosomal RNA (5.8S rRNA) is a component of the large subunit of the eukaryotic ribosome. Lineage: Eukaryota; Viridiplantae; Streptophyta; Magnoliopsida; Fabales; Fabaceae. The record is from RNAcentral.